RNAcentral lists this ribosomal RNA (473 nucleotides) under uncultured bacterium. Its description in RNAcentral is "bacterial SSU rRNA". It matches the Rfam family "Bacterial small subunit ribosomal RNA", at positions 56 to 524 of the family's 1533-position model. The record is from RNAcentral.
UGCAAGUCGAACGGCAGCACGGACUUCGGUCUGGUGGCGAGUGGCGAACGGGUGAGUAAUGUAUCGGAACGUGCCCAGUAGCGGGGGAUAACUACGCGAAAGCGUAGCUAAUACCACAUACGCCCUACGGGGGAAAGCAGGGGAUCGCAAGACCUUGCACUAUUGGAGCGGCCGAUAUCGGAUUAGCUAGUUGGUGGGGUAACGGCUCACCAAGGCGACGAUCCGUAGCUGGUUUGAGAGGACGACCAGCCACACUGGGACUGAGACACGGCCCAGACUCCUACGGGAGGCAGCAGUGGGGAAUUUUGGACAAUGGGGGAAACCCUGAUCCAGCCAUCCCGCGUGUGCGAUGAAGGCCUUCGGGUUGUAAAGCACUUUUGGCAGGAAAGAAACGUCGUGGGUUAAUACCCCGCGAAACUGACGGUACCUGCAGAAUAAGCACCGGCUAACUACGUGCCAGCAGCCGCGGUAAU